Molecule: ribosomal RNA, 253 nt
Filed under: uncultured bacterium
Lineage: Bacteria
Description: partial 16S ribosomal RNA
Rfam family: Bacterial small subunit ribosomal RNA
Source: RNAcentral
UACGUAGGGGGCUAGCGUUGUCCGGAUUCAUUGGGCGUAAAGAGCGUGUAGGCGGCCAGGUAGGUCCGCUGUGAAAACUCGAGGCUCAACCUCGAGAUGUCGGCGGAAACCAUCUGGCUAGAGUCCGGAAGAGGAGAGUGGAAUUCCCGGUGUAGUGGUGAAAUGCGCAGAUAUCGGGAAGAACACCAGUGGCGAAGGCGGCUCACUGGUCCGGUACUGACGCUGAGGUGCGAAAGCGUGGGGAGCAAACAGG